UACGUAGGCAGCAAGCGUUGUUCGGAAUUACUGGGCGUAAAGAGCGUGUAGGCGGUGCUCUAAGUUCGGUGUGAAAUCUCCCGGCUUAACUGGGAGGGUGCGCCGGAAACUGGAGUGCUCGAGCGUGGGAGAGGAAAGCGGAAUUCCUGGUGUAGCGGUGAAAUGCGUAGAUAUCAGGAGGAACACCGGUGGUGUAGACGGCUUUCUGGACCAUAGCUGACGCUGAGACACGAAAGCGUGGGUAGCAAACAGG
This 253-nucleotide ribosomal RNA is filed under the name uncultured bacterium. RNAcentral's name for it is "partial 16S ribosomal RNA". It matches the Rfam family "Bacterial small subunit ribosomal RNA", at positions 524 to 776 of the family's 1533-position model. The record is from RNAcentral.